This 390-nucleotide ribosomal RNA is filed under the name uncultured bacterium. Its description in RNAcentral is "bacterial SSU rRNA". It matches the Rfam family "Bacterial small subunit ribosomal RNA", at positions 29 to 412 of the family's 1533-position model. The record is from RNAcentral.
AUUGAACGCUGGCGGCAUGCCUUACACAUGCAAGUCGAGCGCGAAAGGGGGCAACCCCGAGUAGAGCGGCGGACGGGUGAGUAACACAUCGGAACGUGCCCAGUAGUGGGGGACAACCUCGAGAAAUCGAGGCUAAUACCGCAUACGACCCACGGGUGAAAGCGGGGGACCCAAAGGAAACUGAGGGCCUCGCGCUAUUGGAGCGGCCGAUGUCCGAUUAGCUAGUUGGCGGGGUAAAGGCUUACCAAGGCGAUGAUCGGUAGCUGGUCUGAGAGGAUGAUCAGCCACACUGGGACUGAGACACGGCCCAGACUCCUACGGGAGGCAGCAGUGGGGAAUUUUGGACAAUGGGGGCGAACCCUGAUCCAGCCAUUCCGCGUGAGUGAAGAA